This 1515-nucleotide ribosomal RNA is filed under the name Aeromonas hydrophila. Its description in RNAcentral is "partial 23S ribosomal RNA". It matches the Rfam family "Bacterial large subunit ribosomal RNA", at positions 1 to 1573 of the family's 2925-position model. Lineage: Bacteria; Pseudomonadati; Pseudomonadota; Gammaproteobacteria; Aeromonadales; Aeromonadaceae. The record is from RNAcentral.
GGUUAAGUGACUAAGCGUACAUGGUGGAUGCCUUGGCAGUCAGAGGCGAUGAAGGACGUACUAACCUGCGAUAAGCCGUGAGCAGUCGGUAAGAGACAUUACGACUCACGGAUUUCCGAAUGGGGAAACCCACCCAAGAUAACUUGGGUAUCGUUACAUGAAUACAUAGUGUAGCGAGGCGAACCGGGAGAACUGAAACAUCUAAGUACCCCGAGGAAAAGAAAUCAACCGAGAUUCCCUCAGUAGCGGCGAGCGAACGGGGAUUAGCCCUUAAGCAUCUUGGAAGUUAGUGGAACGGUCCUGGAAAGGCCGGCGAUACAGGGUGAUAGCCCCGUACACGAAAACAACCUUGAUGUGAAAUCGAGUAGGGCGGGACACGUGACAUCCUGUCUGAAUAUGGGGGGACCAUCCUCCAAGGCUAAAUACUCCUGACUGACCGAUAGUGAACCAGUACCGUGAGGGAAAGGCGAAAAGAACCCCUGUGAGGGGAGUGAAAUAGAACCUGAAACCGUGUACGUACAAGCAGUGGGAGCCCUUCGGGGUGACUGCGUACCUUUUGUAUAAUGGGUCAGCGACUUACAUUUUGUAGCGAGGUUAACCGUAUAGGGGAGCCGUAGGGAAACCGAGUCUUAACUGGGCGUCUAGUUGCAAGGUGUAGACCCGAAACCGGGUGAUCUAGCCAUGGGCAGGUUGAAGGUUGAGUAACAUCAACUGGAGGACCGAACCCACUAACGUUGCAAAGUUAGGGGAUGACCUGUGGCUGGGGGUGAAAGGCCAAUCAAACUCGGAGAUAGCUGGUUCUCCCCGAAAGCUAUUUAGGUAGCGCCUCGGACGAAUACUACUGGGGGUAGAGCACUGUUUGGGCUAGGGGGUCAUCCCGACUUACCAACCCCAUGCAAACUCCGAAUACCAGUAAGUAAUAUCCGGGAGACACACGGCGGGUGCUAACGUCCGUCGUGAAGAGGGAAACAACCCAGACCGCCGGCUAAGGUCCCAAAGUUCUGGUUAAGUGGGAAACGAUGUGGGAAGGCUCAGACAGCUAGGAUGUUGGCUUAGAAGCAGCCAUCAUUUAAAGAAAGCGUAAUAGCUCACUAGUCGAGUCGGCCUGCGCGGAAGAUGUAACGGGGCUCAAACCAGGCACCGAAGCCGCGGAUUCACACUAAGUGUGAGUGGUAGGGGAGCGUUCUGUAAGUCUGCGAAGGUGUGUCGAGAGGCAUGCUGGAGAUAUCAGAAGUGCGAAUGCUGACGUAAGUAACGAUAAAGGGGGUGAAAAGCCUCCUCGCCGGAAGACCAAGGGUUCCUGUCCAACGUUAAUCGGGGCAGGGUGAGUCGACCCCUAAGGCGAGGCCGAAAGGCGUAGUCGAUGGGAAGCAGGUUAAUAUUCCUGCACGACUUGUAAUUGCGAUGGGGGGACGGAGAAGGCUAGGUGGGCCAGGCGACGGUUGUCCUGGUGAAAGUGCGUAGGUGGUGUUUCUAGGCAAAUCCGGAGACACAACACUGAGACACGAGACGAAC